Long non-coding RNA from Motacilla alba alba, 389 nucleotides. RefSeq lists it as uncharacterized. The record is from RefSeq and is a predicted model, not a curated record. The transcript has 3 exons. Lineage: Eukaryota; Metazoa; Chordata; Aves; Passeriformes; Motacillidae.
CUUGAGAUUAAAAGAAGAGGAGAACAAAAAGAUGCAAACAGGAAGAAAAAAAUGUGUGCAAAGCUGGCUUUCAGUAAGAUUUCAGAAGAGAACUAACCUUCCCUUUGUGGAAAGCUGUGUGCCUCAUCUGAAGUUGAGCUUACCAAAGUGGGGAUAUGACAACCACACAUCCACCUUGCCAAGGGUCAGAAGUAUCACCAGUCCUUGCUGGUUGCUUCCAUCGUCUGUGAGGGCCAAAGCCAAAAUGAACAUGUGCCUUGCACUAAGAAAUCCCAGGAUUGUCACAACUUGUGCCAGCUGUUGAGGUUAUGACACCUGUGCCAGCAUCGCCAGCUCUGCCCACUGUCAUCUGUUCCAACUGUUCCAUCUGCACUGUUUGUACCAAUUCU